RNAcentral lists this ribosomal RNA (482 nucleotides) under uncultured Thermovirga sp. Its description in RNAcentral is "bacterial SSU rRNA". It matches the Rfam family "Bacterial small subunit ribosomal RNA", at positions 900 to 1382 of the family's 1533-position model. The record is from RNAcentral. Lineage: Bacteria; Thermotogati; Synergistota; Synergistia; Synergistales; Thermovirgaceae.
CUUAAAUGAAUUGACGGGGCCCGCACAAGCGGAGGAACAUGUGGUUUAAUUCGAUGAUACGCGAGGAACCGUUACCUGGGCUAGAACGCAAUCGGAAUCAGGCCGAAAGGUCUGCGCCAGCGAUGGCCGCUUGCGAGGUGCUGCAUGGUUGUCGUCAGCUCGUGCCGUGAGGUGUCGGGUUAAGUCCCGCAACGAGCGCAACCCCUGCAUCCAGUUGCCAUCGGGCGAGCCGGGCACUCUGGAGGGACUGCCGGCGACAAGCCGGAGGAAGGUGGGGAUGACGUCAAGUCAUCAUGGCCCUUAUGUCCAGGGCGACACACGUGCUACAAUGGCCGGCACAGCGGGAAGCGGAGGGGCGACCCUGAGCGGAUCCCUUGAAAGCCGGUCCCAGUUCGGAUUGCAGUCUGCAACUCGACUGCAUGAAGUUGGAAUCGCUAGUAAUCGCGGAUCAGCCAAGCCGCGGUGAAUACGUUCCGGGCCUU